Molecule: ribosomal RNA, 1482 nt
Filed under: Enterobacter ludwigii
Lineage: Bacteria; Pseudomonadati; Pseudomonadota; Gammaproteobacteria; Enterobacterales; Enterobacteriaceae
Description: bacterial SSU rRNA
Rfam family: Bacterial small subunit ribosomal RNA
Source: RNAcentral
UGAACGCCGGGGGGCAGGCCUAACACAUGCAAGUCGAGCGGCAGCGGAAAAGUAGCUUGUUACUUUGCCGGCGAGCGGCGGACGGGUGAGUAAUGUCUGGGAAACUGCCUGAUGGAGGGGGAUAACUACUGGAAACGGUAGCUAAUACCGCAUAACGUCGCAAGACCAAAGAGGGGGACCUUCGGGCCUCUUGCCAUCAGAUGUGCCCAGAUGGGAUUAGCUAGUAGGUGGGGUAACGGCUCACCUAGGCGACGAUCCCUAGCUGGUCUGAGAGGAUGACCAGCCACACUGGAACUGAGACACGGUCCAGACUCCUACGGGAGGCAGCAGUGGGGAAUAUUGCACAAUGGGCGCAAGCCUGAUGCAGCCAUGCCGCGUGUAUGAAGAAGGCCUUCGGGUUGUAAAGUACUUUCAGCGGGGAGGAAGGCGUUGAGGUUAAUAACCUCAGCGAUUGACGUUACCCGCAGAAGAAGCACCGGCUAACUCCGUGCCAGCAGCCGCGGUAAUACGGAGGGUGCAAGCGUUAAUCGGAAUUACUGGGCGUAAAGCGCACGCAGGCGGUCUGUCAAGUCGGAUGUGAAAUCCCCGGGCUCAACCUGGGAACUGCAUUCGAAACUGGCAGGCUAGAGUCUUGUAGAGGGGGGUAGAAUUCCAGGUGUAGCGGUGAAAUGCGUAGAGAUCUGGAGGAAUACCGGUGGCGAAGGCGGCCCCCUGGACAAAGACUGACGCUCAGGUGCGAAAGCGUGGGGAGCAAACAGGAUUAGAUACCCUGGUAGUCCACGCCGUAAACGAUGUCGACUUGGAGGUUGUGCCCUUGAGGCGUGGCUUCCGGAGCUAACGCGUUAAGUCGACCGCCUGGGGAGUACGGCCGCAAGGUUAAAACUCAAAUGAAUUGACGGGGGCCCGCACAAGCGGUGGAGCAUGUGGUUUAAUUCGAUGCAACGCGAAGAACCUUACCUACUCUUGACAUCCAGAGAACUUUCCAGAGAUGGAUUGGUGCCUUCGGGAACUCUGAGACAGGUGCUGCAUGGCUGUCGUCAGCUCGUGUUGUGAAAUGUUGGGUUAAGUCCCGCAACGAGCGCAACCCUUAUCCUUUGUUGCCAGCGGUCCGGCCGGGAACUCAAAGGAGACUGCCAGUGAUAAACUGGAGGAAGGUGGGGAUGACGUCAAGUCAUCAUGGCCCUUACGAGUAGGGCUACACACGUGCUACAAUGGCGCAUACAAAGAGAAGCGACCUCGCGAGAGCAAGCGGACCUCAUAAAGUGCGUCGUAGUCCGGAUUGGAGUCUGCAACUCGACUCCAUGAAGUCGGAAUCGCUAGUAAUCGUAGAUCAGAAUGCUACGGUGAAUACGUUCCCGGGCCUUGUACACACCGCCCGUCACACCAUGGGAGUGGGUUGCAAAAGAAGUAGGUAGCUUAACCUUCGGGAGGGCGCUUACCACUUUGUGAUUCAUGACUGGGGUGAAGUCGUAACAAGGUAAC